This 490-nucleotide long non-coding RNA is filed under the name Junco hyemalis (dark-eyed junco). Its description in RNAcentral is "lncRNA (ENSJHYG00000012887.1)". The record is from RNAcentral. Lineage: Eukaryota; Metazoa; Chordata; Aves; Passeriformes; Passerellidae.
GCCACUAAUAACUACUUCAGGCGUGCUCAUGGUGUCUUGGCUCUUAAUGCUGUGGCUCAGGGCUCAGGGAGUGUCUUUACAGGUUCUGUGUUCGACAGCUUCCUGAGAAAAACAGGAUUUCUGCAUGGAAGGAGGAUGAGUACUCUGACAAACACCUGAAUUCUGCAGCAGCAGAGAAUGUCACCAUGAAUGUCCAUUGGCAAACUGGAUAAGAAAGAGUGUCACAGUGCAGGACAACCUAGAAGAUGACAGAUACUCGCAGGUCUUCUAUUAUGCAGCAAUAUUAGCAAGUAUCCACUCUGGACUGCAGCAACAUCUGAAUUUUCAGUUCUUGAGAACUUUCCUGCAUCUUCACAAAAAAUGAACAGAGGAUAUUUAUAAGAACAAUCUUCCAAUUAGCCCCCCUCAACAGCCUGUGCCUGGAGCCUUGUCCAUUUUAAUAUAUGCAGCAAAAAGUGCAAACUGAAGCUUAUUCAUCUUUAUUUUCUGA